UAGUCUGUUUCAAAAACAAUUUUGUGCAAGCCCAGGGCCCAGGCACUAACCCAUAGAGUCCUACAAAAGCUUCACCCAUUUCACUCUAUUGGAGUUUAUAAUAUGUUUACGGUCGUUCAACAUAAUCUGGCCCUCUAAAAAUUACGGGUGACAACUCCAAACUCCAUAAGUAUUGGCAUGAAAGCUAUGUCUAUGGUGAUCUUGUACCAAUCCUCACGUGGGGGAAACCAGUGAGAGAUGACAGUGUUGUGUUAAGUGAGAUGAACUAGUCAAGGCCUGCUUGUAUGCUGACAAGGUGGAGUUAGCUAUCUUAAUAAUGCUUCUAGCAGGACUUCUAGUUUUGAAAGUAAAUAGUGCUCCCGGCAUACCAUAGAGCCCAUAGCAUAGCCCUUCUUCUGCUCUAUCUCCAUCACAAUUAGAAAAAAAAGGAAACCUGAAUCACUACCUGAUGUUGUUCAUGUGAUAUUGAAAGGUCCCACUGGCGCGAAAUCUUUUCUUCCAAUGUCAGCAACCUGGCAAUCAUGCAAAAUAUGCGUUGUAGUUUUUCAGUAUUGGUUGCAUGUACCACAGCAAUAAUCACUAUAGGUCCCAAAUAUGCUGACAGCUGCAGAAGUCGUGGUAUCUGUUUGUGUUGGAUUCUUCCGUCUUCUUUCUAACCCAUGCCACAUGAUAAAACACCCCCAACUUAAAUAUGUAAAAAUUAAUUUAUGGUGUACCUUCCGAGUCCAAAUGCCAACCAGCAAGUGACCCUAAACAUGAACAGCUGCA
This is a long non-coding RNA of Populus euphratica (Euphrates poplar), 768 nucleotides long. RefSeq lists it as uncharacterized. The transcript is spliced from 2 exons. The record is from RefSeq and is a predicted model, not a curated record. NCBI's taxonomy places the organism in Eukaryota, Viridiplantae, Streptophyta, Magnoliopsida, Malpighiales, Salicaceae.